GUGGGGAAUAUUGGACAAUGGGCGAAAGCCUGAUCCAGCAAUGUCGCGUGAGUGAUGAAGGCCUUAGGGUUGUAAAGCUCUUUUACCAGGGAUGAUAAUGACAGUACCUGGAGAAUAAGCUCCGGCUAACUCCGUGCCAGCAGCCGCGGUAAUACGGAGGGAGCUAGCGUUGUUCGGAAUUACUGGGCGUAAAGCGCACGUAGGCGGCUACUCAAGUCAGAGGUGAAAGCCCGGGGCUCAACCCCGGAACUGCCUUUGAAACUAGGUAGCUAGAAUCUUGGAGAGGUCAGUGGAAUUCCGAGUGUAGAGGUGAAAUUCGUAGAUAUUCGGAAGAACACCAGUGGCGAAGGCGACUGACUGGACAAGUAUUGACGCUGAGGUGCGAAAGCGUGGGGAGCAAACAGGAUUAGAAACCCCAGUAGUCC
Molecule: ribosomal RNA, 425 nt
Filed under: uncultured bacterium
Lineage: Bacteria
Description: partial 16S ribosomal RNA
Rfam family: Bacterial small subunit ribosomal RNA
Source: RNAcentral